RNAcentral lists this ribosomal RNA (507 nucleotides) under uncultured bacterium. RNAcentral describes it as "bacterial SSU rRNA". It matches the Rfam family "Bacterial small subunit ribosomal RNA", at positions 15 to 518 of the family's 1533-position model. The record is from RNAcentral.
AGUCCUGGCUCAGGAUGAACGCUAGCGACAGGCCUAACACAUGCAAGUCGAGGGGUAGCGUGAGGAAGCUUGCUUCCCUUGACGACGACCGGCGAAUGGGUGAGUCACGCGUGUCCAACCUGCCCCGUGCCCGGGGAUAGCCCUUGGAAAUGAGGAUUAAGACCCGAUAUGUGGCGCUUCCGCAUGGCGGCGCCAUGAAGCAGGCACGGGAUGGGGACGCGUCGGAUUAGCUUGACGGCGGGGCAGCGGCCCACCGUGGCGACGAUCCGCAGGGGUUCUGAGAGGAAGGUCCCCCACACUGGCACUGAGACACGGGCCAGACUCCUACGGGAGGCAGCAGUGAGGAAUAUUGGUCAAUGGGCGGGAGCCUGAACCAGCCAAAGUAGCGUGCAGGACGACGGCCCUACGGGUUGUAAACUGCUUUUCCGGGAGGAUAAAGUGAGCCACGCGUGGUUCAUUGCAGGUAUCCCGGGAAUAAGGACCGGCUAAUUCCGUGCCAGCCGCAGC